GGCGGGGUAGCUCAGUUGGUGAGAGCGCAGGAUUCAUAACCCUGAGGUCGGCAGUUCGACUCUGCCUCCCGCUA
This 74-nucleotide transfer RNA is filed under the name Phreatobacter oligotrophus. RNAcentral's name for it is "tRNA-Met". It matches the Rfam family "tRNA". Rfam says of the family: Transfer RNA (tRNA) molecules are approximately 80 nucleotides in length. RNAcentral also lists the same sequence under 2 other names. Lineage: Bacteria; Pseudomonadati; Pseudomonadota; Alphaproteobacteria; Hyphomicrobiales; Phreatobacteraceae. The record is from RNAcentral.